GGGGAUUUAGCUUAGUGGCAUAAGCACCUGCCUUGCAAGUAUGCAGUCACGAGUUCAAUCCCCA
Transfer RNA from Cavia porcellus (domestic guinea pig), 64 nucleotides. It matches the Rfam family "tRNA". From Rfam's summary of the family: Transfer RNA (tRNA) molecules are approximately 80 nucleotides in length. Lineage: Eukaryota; Metazoa; Chordata; Mammalia; Rodentia; Caviidae. The record is from Rfam.